AGGAUGAACGCUGGCGGCGUGCUUAACACAUGCAAGUCGAACGAUGAAGGCUGGAGCUUGCUCUGGCUGGAUUAGUGGCGAACGGGUGAGUAACACGUGAGUAACCUGCCCCAGACUCUGGGAUAAGCGCUGGAAACGGCGUCUAAUACCGGAUACGAGCUUCCACCGCAUGGUGAGGAGCUGGAAAGAAUUUCGGUCUGGGAUGGACUCGCGGCCUAUCAGCUUGUUGGUGAGGUAAUGGCUCACCAAGGCGACGACGGGUAGCCGGCCUGAGAGGGUCACCGGCCAACGACUGGGACU
RNAcentral lists this ribosomal RNA (300 nucleotides) under uncultured soil bacterium. Its description in RNAcentral is "bacterial SSU rRNA". It matches the Rfam family "Bacterial small subunit ribosomal RNA", at positions 26 to 320 of the family's 1533-position model. The record is from RNAcentral.